RNAcentral lists this ribosomal RNA (491 nucleotides) under uncultured bacterium. RNAcentral's name for it is "partial 16S ribosomal RNA". It matches the Rfam family "Bacterial small subunit ribosomal RNA", at positions 29 to 506 of the family's 1533-position model. The record is from RNAcentral.
AGUGAACGCUGGCGGUAGGCCUAACACAUGCAAGUCGAACGGCAGCACAGUAAGAGCUUGCUCUUACGGGUGGCGAGUGGCGGACGGGUGAGGAAUACAUCGGAAUCUACUUUUUCGUGGGGGAUAACGUGGGGAAACUUACGCUAAUACCGCAUACGACCUACGGGUGAAAGCAGGGGAUCUUCGGACCUUGCGCGAUUGAAUGAGCCGAUGUCGGAUUAGCUAGUUGGCGGGGUAAAGGCCCACCAAGGCGACGAUCCGUAGCUGGUCUGAGAGGAUGAUCAGCCACACUGGAACUGAGACACGGUCCAGACUCCUACGGGAGGCAGCAGUGGGGAAUAUUGGACAAUGGGCGCAAGCCUGAUCCAGCCAUACCGCGUGGGUGAAGAAGGCCUUCGGGUUGUAAAGCCCUUUUGUUGGGAAAGAAAAGCAGCAGGUUAAUACCCCGCUGUUCUGACGGUACCCAAAGAAUAAGCACCGGCUAACUUCGU